This 262-nucleotide unclassified non-coding RNA is filed under the name uncultured fungus. RNAcentral's name for it is "partial contains 5.8S ribosomal RNA, internal transcribed spacer 2, and large subunit ribosomal RNA". The stretch from base 1 to 52 matches the Rfam family "5.8S ribosomal RNA", at positions 103 to 154 of the family's 154-position model. Lineage: Eukaryota; Fungi. The record is from RNAcentral.
AACGCACAUUGCGCCCAUUGGUAUUCCGAUGGGCAUGCCUGUUCGAGCGUCAUUAUCCUCUCUCCAACCUUUGGGUUGGGUGUUGGACCGAGUUGCGGGACCUCCGCAACUGGUCUCAAAGACAAUGACGGCGUCCGUGGGGACCCUCUUCGCAACGAGUCUUUCGAGGCACGCGGGGAGUCGCAAGGUCACUGCGGGCCGGUCUUACCUCUAUUUUUCUCAGGUUGACCUCGGAUCAGGUAGGAAUACCCGCUGAACUUAA